Molecule: long non-coding RNA, 894 nt
Filed under: Apteryx rowi (Okarito brown kiwi)
Lineage: Eukaryota; Metazoa; Chordata; Aves; Apterygiformes; Apterygidae
Description: lncRNA (ENSARWG00000018727.1)
Source: RNAcentral
CUCUUUUUUUUAAUCUUAGUUUCUCACCUUUCUAGGUAUAGAGGAAAGCUUGAUGAAGUGAUUCAUCCCAACCCUGACAACCAACGAAAACACACUAGAAAACAAACAACUUCAUGUCAGCUAGUUAAAACCAGGAAAUCCUGAGUGCUCUAAACCCGUGUCAUGAUUUUGGGGGCCUGUCCUGGAUAUCUAAACUUCUGGGGUCUGAUACUGAGGACCUGGCAGCCGCUUCUCCUUGCAGGUGUGUGGAUCUUGAGACUCGCUGGAUGUCCGCCSUUGCCGGUUUCCUGCCUUUUGAAGUGCUUUCAUGUUGCUCUGGAAAGGAUUAGAGCAAAGCUUUGGUUUUAUUGGGCUGCAGAACAGGUUUUUGCACUCUAAGAAACUACUUUUACUAUUUAAAGAGAGGAAUCUGAGGUCGGAGAAGAGAAGGAGACGUUGCAGGGCCAAGCUGUAGCCUGCACAGCAAGGGCACUUCCUUUCGAACAGCACAGUCAGCCCCCGAGUCCUCUGCCGCUGGUCUUGCAUCGUGUGGCCUUUAUGUGYGGAUCUGCAAAACUGAUUCGGAUGUGAUGGACCUAAGCGGAUUCAGAUCACAAACGCUGAGACCUACCGUGCAUGCAGAGGCAAAACAUGCAUUUUAGGGGGGCACGAUAGGCCCUCCGAAGSACUUCAGCACCCGAGUAAGCCCUUCAAGCCCUAGGGGGUUCUGCGUCUCACAGGGGGUUAAAUUCUGUACCUGUGGCUGGGGGAUAUUUGUAAGGCAAUAGCUAUUGCUGCUGUUGAAAACAUCGAAGAAAUAGCAGAAAUCAUCGUCGGAUCAACCCUCACGGUGGAAACCCUAGCAAACGGUGUGAAGCAAAGGGUAAGCCCAUCGGCAGCCCUGGGAAAUGCCCU